This 63-nucleotide microRNA precursor is filed under the name Drosophila simulans. RNAcentral's name for it is "Dsi-Mir-977_pre stem-loop". The record is from RNAcentral. Lineage: Eukaryota; Metazoa; Arthropoda; Insecta; Diptera; Drosophilidae.
UAGAUAACUCGAAUAUCACAUUUUCAGUGUUCGAUAUCUGAUGAGAUAUUCACGUUGUCUAAA